GGCUCACUGCCCCUCCCUUACCUUGCAAGACAUGUUGAAGAAAUCGUUGUACUGGCGCUGUUUCGUAGUAAAAAGCUAAUCUUUAAGACGGGCUAUUAAACCCCAGCCUCUUUGAUCUGCAUUCGUUCGCAACAUUACGAAAAAUCUGCAUGCACUGUGCUUUACUAAAGAACUGAUGUAGGCGUACCGGUCGGGGCGUUUACCACCGUGUGAUAAAGUUUAACUACUGAAGCUCCAAGGAGAAACCCAAGAAAAGAUUUUGGUGUCAAAAAGCUAUUGCUAGAUGUUUGCUGAUCGAAUGGAAAUCAUUGGAUCUUCAUCAUGGCUGUUGAAUCCAGCAUUCUUCAACCAUCAGAUGUAUCAACAUAAAACAUGGGAUUAACAAGCGAGAGAUGGAGAGAGAAGACUCCAGAAAGGAGAGGCCGUAGACACCAGAAAGGAGUGGACUCGGAGUCGAUGAAGCCCAGAGAAAUCGAUGGAGGAGCAGUGGAAGAGAAACCCUGAGCUCCAACUUGUGCACAGUAGACUGUUUCAU
Long non-coding RNA from Mobula hypostoma (lesser devil ray), 535 nucleotides. RefSeq lists it as uncharacterized. NCBI's taxonomy places the organism in Eukaryota, Metazoa, Chordata, Chondrichthyes, Myliobatiformes, Myliobatidae. The record is from RefSeq and is a predicted model, not a curated record. The transcript has 4 exons.